Molecule: small RNA, 2227 nt
Filed under: Pan troglodytes (chimpanzee)
Lineage: Eukaryota; Metazoa; Chordata; Mammalia; Primates; Hominidae
Description: retained intron
Source: RNAcentral
AACUGUUUCAAAAGUAUCAGCUAUGGUGUCAGCCUGCUGUGUUAGAUGGAAGGCAUUGGAGCUUAGCUUCUCAUGUUUUCUUGUACAAAUUGGCUUUAUUCAGAUUUGUAAGAGUGUCAAUGUAAAAGUCUUUCUUACUGGAAUAUCCUUUACAGAAGGUUGAGAUAGUCAUCUGAGCCUUUUUAAAAGAAAAAACUGCAGGUGAAAAAGGAGUUAGUUGAUUUGAAAGUUUUAGUGAAAUUCUGGGUUGUAUAAAUAAGAAGUUGCUAGGAAUUGGCAAGGUAGUGAAGUGGUGACUCACACAGGUAAUGUAAUUGUUAGAUUUUUUAGCAAAUCAGGAAUAUGUCAAUAUAUAAGUACAAUGUUGAAUUCAAACAAUCUGUUGAAUUAAAUUCUGUUAAUUAGAAUAAUUCUAAUUUAAGAAAAAUUCCAAACUGUAGAUUUAUUUUUCUCUGAUCAGUAAAAAGAAAAUGAGUUCCAGCUUGACUUUAGCUGUUCAAGUGAGAAGUCUGAGGAAGUGCAUGUUAAUGAGCCAGUGACCCAUAGGUAGCUGGGUUAAAGACACUUUGGAUUUGGAUAAUCCGGGAAGCAAUUAAUCCCUAAUUGUUGAACAGGCAGUCCUGGGUAAAGAGGACCUAAAAUGCUGCACUAUUAACAGCAUUAGACGGCCAGGUUUGUACUUCAUAGAUUUAGGCUGUCUUCUUCACAAGUUUUAGAAAAAGAAUUUAGGAGCUAGAGCCCUGGUGCAGGAUCAACAGCAGCUCAUACUCCUAUUUUAAAAUAAUUUGAUCGUGGCCUCCCUUCAGUUUUAAUGUGGCACUGGUAAAUCUACCUGGUUCUGGCAUGCUUCACUUUGAUUUCCUGCUAUCCUCUACUGCUUGCCUCUAAAUCAAGGUAAAGAGCAGAGCAGGUAUGUAUUAAUGUCACAUUGUCUUGAUUAUUUUAAAUACUUAAAAUAUACAUGUUAAACCUUGGUAUUAGUUUCACAGGCAGUUUACUUUUCAGUACAUAAUUUAACAGGAGUGACUUGGUGGGAGUGGGGCUUUAAACUGAAAAUUGGAACAACAGCAUGAUGUGGAGAAAAGUUGUGCAGCAUUAAGUACAUGCAAAAAUUAAGUAACCAAGUUUUGUCUAUAUAGCAGAUAUGUUUACAUUGGAUGUCAAAAGUAACACAGUAUUUGAUAUAAUUACAGAUAAUUGUGAUCUACAUUUUAAAAUAUCAAGAGAUCGUCUCAGUGCUUCUUCCCUUACAAUGGAGAGUUUUGCUUUUCUUUGGGCUGGAGGAAGAGCAUCCUAUGGUGUGUCAAAAGGCAAAGUGUGUUUUGAGAUGAAGGUUACAGAGAAGAUCCCAGUAAGGCAUUUAUAUACAAAAGAUAUUGACAUACAUGAAGUUCGUAUUGGCUGGUCACUAACUACAAGUGGAAUGUUACUUGGUGAAGAAGAAUUUUCUUAUGGGUAUUCUCUAAAAGGAAUAAAAACAUGCAACUGUGAGACUGAAGAUUAUGGAGAAAAGUUUGAUGAAAAUGAUGUGAUUACAUGUUUUGCUGUAAGUUAAAGCUAACUUUCUAUGUAUAAAUGGCAAAGUUAGUAGCUAUAUCUAGGAACUUUAAAGAAGCUUUACUGAGGUCAGUUUUCAAUAUGAGCAACAAAAUACACCAGUCCCUGGAUUAGUGUAAAGACUUCAUUCAGCAGUUGAAUUGGGAAAACACAGGACAUUUUUGAGGAACUCACUAAUUCAUUUUGACUGAAAACAGUGAGCAUGAAAUUGACCUAGAAAAUUUAGUCUAGCUUCUAGAUCAGUAUUGUUUCUGGUUCUGGAGAUACGUGCUUCAUGGUUUACAACCAUCAGAUUUCUUAACUGUGUAGCCCUUAAAGGCCACCUAAUAGUUCUUUAACCUGUAGCUUCCACAGGAUAAGCUUUGCUCCUAAUUUUAAUUCUUAGUUUUUUAGAAAGUUUAAGGAAGCAGAUUUUAACUGUUGAAUUUUUUUCUGUGUAACAGAACUUUGAAAGUGAUGAAGUAGAACUCUCGUAUGCUAAGAAUGGACAAGAUCUUGGCGUUGCCUUCAAAAUCAGUAAGGAAGUUCUUGCUGGACGGCCACUGUUCCCGCAUGUUCUCUGCCACAACUGUGCAGUUGAAUUUAAUUUUGGUCAGAAGGAAAAGCCAUAUUUUCCAAUACCUGAAGAGUAUACUUUCAUCCAGAACGUCCCCUUAGAGGAUCGAGUUAG